UCGCUGGCAAGGUCUGUGACAAGUCCCUGUAUCCUUCCUUCCAGCCGAAGAAGGGCCCGUCGUACAAGGUGUCCUCGAGCUGCCAGAAGUUCCUCAGCAGGACGCUGGAGAAGUUCCAGGAGAAGCGCCCCACAGCGACGGAGGCC
Molecule: non-coding RNA, 146 nt
Filed under: Kryptoperidinium triquetrum
Lineage: Eukaryota; Dinophyceae; Peridiniales; Kryptoperidiniaceae
Source: RNAcentral